AUGCACAAUGUGGGGUUGGCAGGGUUGACCUUCUGGAGCCCCAACAUCAACAUCUUCCGGGACCCGCGGUGGGGCCGGGGCCAGGAGACGCCCGGCGAGGACCCGCUGCUGGCCAGCAAGUACGCCGUCGGAUACAUCACGGGCUCCAGGACGCCGGCGCCGGCGGCGUCACCGACGGCGCGCUCAAGGUCGCCGCAUGCUGCAAGCACUACACUGCCUACGACGUCGACAACUGGAAGGGCAUCGAGCGAUACACCUUCAACGCAAAUUUUGUUUCCAGCGACAGCAGAGAGAUGUACUCCAGCAGAGGAUCAAAUGAUCAGAGAGAGGAGAUGA
Molecule: ribosomal RNA, 336 nt
Filed under: Triticum aestivum (bread wheat)
Lineage: Eukaryota; Viridiplantae; Streptophyta; Magnoliopsida; Poales; Poaceae
Description: partial small subunit ribosomal RNA
Source: RNAcentral